CCUACGGGCGGCAGCAGUGAGGAAUAUUGGUCAAUGGACGAGAGUCUGAACCAGCCAAGUAGCGUGAAGGAUGACUGCCCUAUGGGUUGUAAACUUCUUUUAUAUGGGAAUAAAACGUUCCACGUGUGGGAUUUUGUAUGUACCAUAUGAAUAAGGAUCGGCUAACUCCGUGCCAGCAGCCGCGGUAAUACGGAGGAUCCGAGCGUUAUCCGGAUUUAUUGGGUUUAAAGGGAGCGUAGGUGGAUUGUUAAGUCAGUUGUGAAAGUUUGCGGCUCAACCGUAAAAUUGCAGUUGAAACUGGCAGUCUUGAGUACAGUAGAGGUGGGCGGAAUUCGUGGUGUAGCGGUGAAAUGCUUAGAUAUCACGAAGAACUCCGAUUGCGAGGCAGUUCACUGGACUGCAACUGACACUGAGGCUCGAAAGUGUGGGUAUCAAACAGGAUUAGAUACCCCUGUAGUC
Molecule: ribosomal RNA, 459 nt
Filed under: uncultured bacterium
Lineage: Bacteria
Description: partial 16S ribosomal RNA
Rfam family: Bacterial small subunit ribosomal RNA
Source: RNAcentral